CUGGUUAGUACUUGGAUGGGAGACCGCCUGGGAAUACGAG
Molecule: ribosomal RNA, 40 nt
Filed under: Labrus bergylta (ballan wrasse)
Lineage: Eukaryota; Metazoa; Chordata; Actinopteri; Labriformes; Labridae
Source: RNAcentral